GACGUAGGGCGCGAGCGUUGUCCGGAUUUAUUGGGCGUAAAGAGCGUGUAGGCGGCCAAGUAAGUCUGCUGUGAAAACUCGAGGCUUAACCUCGAGCUGUCGGCGGAAACUAUUUGGCUAGAGUCCGGAAGAGGAGAAUGGAAUUCCCGGUGUAGCGGUGAAAUGCGCAGAUAUCGGGAAGAACACCCGUGGCGAAGGCGGUUCUCUGGGACGGUACUGACGCUGAGACGCGAAAGCGUGGGGAGCGAACAGG
Molecule: ribosomal RNA, 253 nt
Filed under: uncultured bacterium
Lineage: Bacteria
Description: partial 16S ribosomal RNA
Rfam family: Bacterial small subunit ribosomal RNA
Source: RNAcentral